RNAcentral lists this RNase P RNA (417 nucleotides) under bacterium. Its description in RNAcentral is "RNase P RNA component class A". It matches the Rfam family "Bacterial RNase P class A". Rfam says of the family: Ribonuclease P (RNase P) is a ubiquitous endoribonuclease, found in archaea, bacteria and eukarya as well as chloroplasts and mitochondria. Its best characterised activity is the generation of mature 5'-ends of tRNAs by cleaving the 5'-leader elements of precursor-tRNAs. Cellular RNase Ps are ribonucleoproteins. The record is from RNAcentral.
CCGGCAGGGCGGACCAUCGCUGCGGAAGACGUCAAAAUCGACCGUGGAGGAAAGUCCGGACUCAACAGGGCAGGAUGCUGGCUAACGGCCAGGCGGGGCAACCCGACGGAAAGUGCAACAGAAAGCAAACCGCCAACCCGCGAAGGCUGCAAAGUCGCGCGGCGGCAAGGAUGAAACGGUGUGGUAAGAGCACACCAGCGGCUUGGCGACAAGCCGGCUCGGUAAACCCCAUCCUGAGCAAGACCAAAUAGGAGGACACGGCGCGGGUCAAACCGCUCCGGCCGCUGGCCCGGCGGGUCCUCGGGUAGGUCGCUUGAGGACGCCAGCAAUGGCGAUCCCAGAUGAAUGAUGGUCUCCCGUGGCGGCGGAAGUCGUCCCGGUAGACAGAAUCCGGCUUACAGCCCCGCCACCGGCAAU